This 465-nucleotide ribosomal RNA is filed under the name uncultured Klebsiella sp. Its description in RNAcentral is "bacterial SSU rRNA". It matches the Rfam family "Bacterial small subunit ribosomal RNA", at positions 338 to 795 of the family's 1533-position model. The record is from RNAcentral. Lineage: Bacteria; Pseudomonadati; Pseudomonadota; Gammaproteobacteria; Enterobacterales; Enterobacteriaceae.
CCUACGGGGGGCAGCAGUGGGGAAUAUUGCACAAUGGGCGCAAGCCUGAUGCAGCCAUGCCGCGUGUGUGAAGAAGGCCUUCGGGUUGUAAAGCACUUUCAGCGGGGAGGAAGGCGUUAAGGUUAAUAACCUUGUCGAGUGACGUUACCCGCAGAAGAAGCACCGGCUAACUCCGUGCCAGCAGCCGCGGUAAUACGGAGGGUGCAAGCGUUAAUCGGAAUUACUGGGCGUAAAGCGCACGCAGGCGGUCUGUCAAGUCGGAUGUGAAAUCCCCGGGCUCAACCUGGGAACUGCAUUCGAAACUGGCAGGCUAGAGUCUUGUAGAGGGGUGUAGAAUGCCAGGUGUAGCGGUGAAAUGCGUAGAGAUCUGGAGGAAUACCGGUGGCGAAGGCGGCCCCCUGGACAAAGACUGACGCUCAGGUGCGAAAGCGUGGGGAGCAAACAGGAUUAGAUACCCGGGUAGUC